GCCUGGGUGGCUCAGCUGGUGAAGCAUCCAACUUCCACUGGGAUCAUGAUCUCAUAGUUCGUGGGUUCGAGCCCCGCAUCAGGCU
RNAcentral lists this transfer RNA (85 nucleotides) under Felis catus (domestic cat). It matches the Rfam family "tRNA". Rfam says of the family: Transfer RNA (tRNA) molecules are approximately 80 nucleotides in length. Their secondary structure includes four short double-helical elements and three loops (D, anti-codon, and T loops). Lineage: Eukaryota; Metazoa; Chordata; Mammalia; Carnivora; Felidae. The record is from Rfam by way of RNAcentral.